This 605-nucleotide ribosomal RNA is filed under the name Bacillus sp. Fon14. Its description in RNAcentral is "bacterial SSU rRNA". It matches the Rfam family "Bacterial small subunit ribosomal RNA", at positions 62 to 651 of the family's 1533-position model. Lineage: Bacteria; Bacillati; Bacillota; Bacilli; Caryophanales; Bacillaceae. The record is from RNAcentral.
UCGAGCGGACAGAAGGGAGCUUGCUCCCGGAUGUUAGCGGCGGACGGGUGAGUAACACGUGGGUAACCUGCCUGUAAGACUGGGAUAACUCCGGGAAACCGGAGCUAAUACCGGAUAGUUCCUUGAACCGCAUGGUUCAAGGAUGAAAGACGGUUUCGGCUGUCACUUACAGAUGGACCCGCGGCGCAUUAGCUAGUUGGUGAGGUAACGGCUCACCAAGGCGACGAUGCGUAGCCGACCUGAGAGGGUGAUCGGCCACACUGGGACUGAGACACGGCCCAGACUCCUACGGGAGGCAGCAGUAGGGAAUCUUCCGCAAUGGACGAAAGUCUGACGGAGCAACGCCGCGUGAGUGAUGAAGGUUUUCGGAUCGUAAAGCUCUGUUGUUAGGGAAGAACAAGUGCAAGAGUAACUGCUUGCACCUUGACGGUACCUAACCAGAAAGCCACGGCUAACUACGUGCCAGCAGCCGCGGUAAUACGUAGGUGGCAAGCGUUGUCCGGAAUUAUUGGGCGUAAAGGGCUCGCAGGCGGUUUCUUAAGUCUGAUGUGAAAGCCCCCGGCUCACCGGGGAGGGUCAUUGGAAACUGGGAAACUUGAGUGCAG